RNAcentral lists this ribosomal RNA (253 nucleotides) under uncultured bacterium. RNAcentral's name for it is "partial 16S ribosomal RNA". It matches the Rfam family "Bacterial small subunit ribosomal RNA", at positions 524 to 776 of the family's 1533-position model. The record is from RNAcentral.
UACGUAGGGGGCAAGCGUUGUCCGGAAUCAUUGGGCGUAAAGCGCGUGUAGGCGGCUGGGUAAGUCCGCUCUGAAAGCCCGGGGCUCAACCCCGGGAGGCGGGUGGAUACUGCUCAGCUCGAGUCCGGAAGAGGAGUGUGGAAUUCCUGGUGUAGCGGUGAAAUGCGCAGAUAUCAGGAGGAACACCUAUGGCGAAGGCAGCACUCUGGGACGGUACUGACGCUGAGACGCGAAAGCGUGGGGAGCGAACAGG